UAUGGGGGGGGCAAGCGUUGUUCGGAAUUACUGGGCGUAAAGGGCUCGUAGGCGGCCAACUAAGUCAGACGUGAAAUCCCUCGGCUUAACCGGGGAACUGCGUCUGAUACUGGAUGGCUUGAGUUUGGGAGAGGGAUGCGGAAUUCCAGGUGUAGCGGUGAAAUGCGUAGAUAUCUGGAGGAACACCGGUGGCGAAGGCGGCAUCCUGGACCAACACUGACGCUGAAAAGCGAAAGCCAGGGGAGCAAACGGG
This 253-nucleotide ribosomal RNA is filed under the name uncultured bacterium. Its description in RNAcentral is "partial 16S ribosomal RNA". It matches the Rfam family "Bacterial small subunit ribosomal RNA", at positions 524 to 776 of the family's 1533-position model. The record is from RNAcentral.